AACGCGAAGAACCUUACCUGGGUUUGACAUCCUCGGACAUCCGUAGAGAUACGGCUUUGGUAGCAAUACCACCGAGAGACAGGUGCUGCAUGGCUGUCGUCAGCUCGUGUGGUGACAUGUUGGGUUAAGUCCCGCAACGAGCGCAACCCCUGUCCUUAGUUGCCAGCAUUCAGUUGGGCACUCUAGGGAGACUGCCGUGGUGAACACGGAGGAAGGUGGGGAUGACGUCAAGUCCUCAUGGCCUUUAUAUCCAGGGCGACACACGUGAUACAAUGGACGGUACAGAGGGUAGCGAAGUGGCGACACGGAGCUAAUCCCAAAAAGCCGUUCUCAGUUCGGAUUGGAGUCUGCAAUUCGACUCCAUGAAGUUGGAAUCGCUAGUAAUCGCGGAUCAGCACGCCGCGGUGAAUACGUUCCCGGGCCUUGUACACACCGUAGAGAC
RNAcentral lists this ribosomal RNA (442 nucleotides) under uncultured bacterium. RNAcentral describes it as "bacterial SSU rRNA". It matches the Rfam family "Bacterial small subunit ribosomal RNA", at positions 958 to 1400 of the family's 1533-position model. The record is from RNAcentral.